GAUGAACGCUGGCGGCGUGCCUAAUACAUGCAAGUCGAGCGAACAGAUAAGGAGCUUGCUCCUUUGACGUUAGCGGCGGACGGGUGAGUAACACGUGGGUAACCUACCUAUAAGACUGGAAUAACUCCGGGAAACCGGGGCUAAUGCCGGAUAACAUUUAGAACCGCAUGGUUCUAAAGUGAAAGAUGGUUUUGCUAUCACUUAUAGAUGGACCCGCGCCGUAUUAGCUAGUUGGUAAGGUAACGGCUUACCAAGGCAACGAUACGUAGCCGACCUGAGAGGGUGAUCGGCCACACUGGAACUGAGACACGGUCCAGACUCCUACGGGAGGCAGCAGUAGGGAAUCUUCCGCAAUGGGCGAAAGCCUGACGGAGCAACGCCGCGUGAGUGAUGAAGGUCUUCGGAUCGUAAAACUCUGUUAUUAGGGAAGAACAAAUGUGUAAGUAACUGUGCACGUCUUGACGGUACCUAGUCAGAAAGCCACGGCUAACUACGUG
Molecule: ribosomal RNA, 497 nt
Filed under: uncultured bacterium
Lineage: Bacteria
Description: partial 16S ribosomal RNA
Rfam family: Bacterial small subunit ribosomal RNA
Source: RNAcentral